This 631-nucleotide ribosomal RNA is filed under the name uncultured Flavobacterium sp. RNAcentral describes it as "bacterial SSU rRNA". It matches the Rfam family "Bacterial small subunit ribosomal RNA", at positions 64 to 697 of the family's 1533-position model. The record is from RNAcentral. Lineage: Bacteria; Pseudomonadati; Bacteroidota; Flavobacteriia; Flavobacteriales; Flavobacteriaceae.
GAGGGGUAUAGUUGCAAUACUAGUAGACCGGCGCACGGGUGCGUAACGCGUAUGCAAUCUACCUUAUACAGAGGGAUAGCCCAGAGAAAUUUGGAUUAAUACCUCAUAGCAUAGCAACUUCGCAUGAAGUCACUAUUAAAGUUCCAACGGUAUAAGAUGAGCAUGCGUCCUAUUAGCUAGAUGGUAAGGUAACGGCUUACCAUGGCUACGAUAGGUAGGGGUCCUGAGAGGGAGAUCCCCCACACUGGUACUGAGACACGGACCAGACUCCUACGGGAGGCAGCAGUGAGGAAUAUUGGACAAUGGGCGCAAGCCUGAUCCAGCCAUGCCGCGUGCAGGAAGACGCAUCUAUGGUGUGUAAACUGCUUUUGUACGGGAAGAAACACUCCCUCGUGAGGGAGCUUGACGGUACCGUAAGAAUAAGGAUCGGCUAACUCCGUGCCAGCAGCCGCGGUAAUACGGAGGAUCCAAGCGUUAUCCGGAAUCAUUGGGUUUAAAGGGUCCGUAGGCGGUUUGGUAAGUCAGUGGUGAAAGCCCAUCGCUUAACGAUGGAACGGCCAUUGAUACUGCCAGACUUGAAUUACUGGGAAGUAACUAGAAUAUGUAGUGUAGCGGUGAAAUGCUUAGAUAU